This 234-nucleotide unclassified non-coding RNA is filed under the name Mesobacillus persicus. Its description in RNAcentral is "Bacillus persicus BsrG". It matches the Rfam family "BsrG". From Rfam's summary of the family: bsrE, bsrG and bsrH pair through intermolecular interactions with antisense sRNAs. SR4 interaction with the 3'UTR of bsrG RNA promotes bsrG degradation and inhibits its translation. Lineage: Bacteria; Bacillati; Bacillota; Bacilli; Caryophanales; Bacillaceae. The record is from RNAcentral.
UAGAAUAGGUUUCUCAAGGGUGGUCGGCACAUCCCCAAACAGAAAGGGGGUGGUGCUGAAUGACAGUUUUUGAAUCACUAAUGAUGGCGAUUGCUUUUGGAAGUUUAAUCGUAACCAUUCUGUCAUUUAACCAUAUAGAAGACUUCCAUCAGUGGGGGCCUUAUCCCCACUGAUGGUUAGUCGCACUUAUCACGCAGAGCCUGACUGACUUUUCUAAGAGCUGAAGCUCUAAGA